GCUGGGCAUGGUGGUGCGUGCCUGUAGUCCCAGCUACUCAGGAGGCUGAGGCAGGAGAAUUGCUUGAACCUGGGAGGCGAAGUUGCAGUGAGCUGAGAUCACGCCACUGUACUCCAGCCUGGGUGACAGAGCAAGACUCUGUCUCAA
This 147-nucleotide small RNA is filed under the name Pongo abelii (Sumatran orangutan). Its description in RNAcentral is "Metazoan signal recognition particle RNA (ENSPPYG00000036032.1)". Lineage: Eukaryota; Metazoa; Chordata; Mammalia; Primates; Hominidae. The record is from Rfam by way of RNAcentral.